Molecule: long non-coding RNA, 1021 nt
Organism: Gallus gallus (chicken)
Lineage: Eukaryota; Metazoa; Chordata; Aves; Galliformes; Phasianidae
Source: Ensembl
UGAACAGAAAUGCAGACUUCUGCAUGAAUGGCCCAGCCACAAAGGGAAGUUGCUGUGCGUACAAAGUAUUUUUCUGAAGUUGAUGGUAGUCAUCACCUACCUCAGAAAAUCGUUUUACUGUAUGGAUUCCUUAAGGGAUUACUCCAUGAAAUAAAUGCGAUGUGGGGACCUGCUUACAGAGUGCGUUUGUGAUUGCUCGUGGUGAAAGCAAAACAGAACAGCUUUAUCCGUCUUGUAUUCUGAAGAAUUGCUUCCCCUGUGAGAUUGGAGCAGAGGAAUCCAGCAACAUGCAGCAGACUCCUGCGAGAAGUGUCCUGUGCAUGCUUAGGCAAUUAUACUCUGAAUUACUUCUUCGGCUCUCAUUCUGGCCUGUUUUCUGGUCCAGUCCACAGCUGUAUAUCACUCUCUGUUGCCAUCAGAAGAAAUGUUCCAGCUUUGUGUUGGUGUAACAGAAAACUGGAUCUGGCUCACUGAGUUAGCGUGCUACAGGAAAUGAUGCUUGAAUGCUGCUGCAUGCAUUAGGAGAACAAGAAUUCUUUCUCCAACAGAACACACUUUGUUCAGUGCCAGUAAUAUCACAGGGAGAUGCUGUCAGGAUGAGAAGUUAACACAUGGGAGCCAGCUGUAGCAACUAAAUGUCUCAAGGAAACUUGUUCUUACAUAAUGAAAUCCAUUCACAAGGAGUAUCACAGAAAGUUGGAGUGACCUGAUAAAACUCUGAGGAGAUUACCAGAUUCAUUCUUGGAAAGGCAAGAAAGUGAAGCUCAAAGCCUGACAGACUUUGAAAAUGAUGAAAAUGUGACUGUUAAUUCAAAAGUUUUAUUUCCAGAUGUUCAGAGCACUGAUUUCUUAAAGACAGCAUGUUGCAUAAUAUGUUGGAAAACCACCUGUAAGUAUUUGUAAAACAAACUAAGACCAAAUCAGAAAAACAGUUAAGUUUAGAAAUGUAGCAGGAUAUACCACGAAAAACUGCUAAAAUUACUGGGGCAGAAUUCUGGAAUUCUGGCUUUGCCAUGAGCUC